GACGAACGCUGGCGGCGUGCUUAACACAUGCAAGUCGAACGGAAAGGCCCUGCUUUUGUGGGGUGCUCGAGUGGCGAACGGGUGAGUAACACGUGAGUAACCUGCCCUUGACUUUGGGAUAACUUCAGGAAACUGGGGCUAAUACCGGAUAGGAGCUCCUGCUGCAUGGUGGGGGUUGGAAAGUUUCGGCGGUUGGGGAUGGACUCGCGGCUUAUCAGCUUGUUGGUGGGGUAGUGGCUUACCAAGGCUUUGACGGGUAGCCGGCCUGAGAGGGUGACCGGCCACAUUGGGACUGAGAUACGGCCCAGACUCCUACGGGAGGCAGCAGUGGGGAAUAUUGCACAAUGGGCGGAAGCCUGAUGCAGCAACGCCGCGUGCGGGAUGACGGCCUUCGGGUUGUAAACCGCUUUCGCCUGUGACGAAGCGUGAGUGACGGUAAUGGGUAAAGAAGCACCGGCUAACUACGUGCCAGCAGCCGCGGUGAUACGUAGGGUGCGAGCGUUGUCCGGAUUUAUUGGGCGUAAAGGGCUCGUAGGUGGUUGAUCGCGUCGGAGGUGUAAUCUUGGGGCUUAACCCUGAGCGUGCUUUCGAUACGGGUUGACUUGAGGAAUGUAGGGGAGAAUGGAAUUCCUGGUGGAGCGGUGGAAUGCGCAGAUAUCAGGAGGAACACCAGUGGCGAAGGCGGUUCUCUGGGCCUUUCCUGACGCUGAGGAGCGAAAGCGUGGGGAGCGAACAGGCUUAGAUACCCUGGUAGUCCACGCUGUAAACGGUGGGUACUAGGUGUGGGGUCCAUUCCACGGGUUCCGUGCCGUAGCUAACGCUUUAAGUACCCCGCCUGGGGAGUACGGCCGCAAGGGUAAAACUCAAAGGAAUUGACGGGGCCCCGCACAAGCGGCGGAGCAUGCGGAUUAAUUCGAUGCAACGCGUAGAACCUUACCUGGGUUUGACAUGGAUCGGGAGUGCUCAGAGAUGGGUGUGCCUCUUUUGGGGUCGGUUCACAGGUGGUGCAUGGCUGUCGUCAGCUCGUGUCGUGAGAUGUUGGGUUAAGUCCCGCAACGAGCGCAACCCUUGUUCACUGUUGCCAGCACGUUAUGGUGGGGACUCAGUAGAGACCGCCGGGGUCAACUCGGAGGAAGGUGGGGAUGACGUCAAGUCAUCAUGCCCCUUAUGUCCAGGGCUUCACGCAUGCUACAAUGGCUGGUACAGAGGGUGGCGAGCCUGUGAGGGUGAGCGAAUCUCGGAAAGCCGGUCUCAGUUCGGAUUGGGGUCUGCAACUCGACCUCAUGAAGUCGGAGUCGCUAGUAAUCGCAGAUCAGCAACGCUGCGGUGAAUACGUUCCCGGG
Molecule: ribosomal RNA, 1343 nt
Filed under: uncultured bacterium
Lineage: Bacteria
Description: 16S ribosomal RNA
Rfam family: Bacterial small subunit ribosomal RNA
Source: RNAcentral